GAUGAACGCUGGCGGCGUGCCUAAUACAUGCAAGUCGAGCGAACGGACGAGUAGCUUGCUUCUCUGAUGUUUGCGGCGGACGGGUGAGUAACACGUGGAUAACCUACCUAUAAGACUGGGAUCACUUCGGGAAACCGGAGCUCAUACCGGAUGAUCUUUUGAACCGCAUUGUUCAAAAUUGAACGACGGUCUUGCUGUCACUUAUAGAUGGAUCCGCGCUUCAUUAGCUAGUUGGUAAGGUAACGGCUUACCAAGGCAACGAUGCAUAGCCGACCUGAGAGGGUGAUCGGCCACACUGGAACUGAGACACGGUCCAGACUCCUACGGGAGGCAGCAGUAGGGAAUCUUCCGCAAAGGGCGAAAGCCUGACGGAGCAACGCCGCGUGAGUGAUGAAGGUCUUCGGAUCGUAAAACUCUGUUAUUAGGGAAGAACAUAUGUGUAAGUAACUGUGCACAUCUUGACGGUACCUAAUCAGAAAGCCACGGCUAACUACGUG
This 497-nucleotide ribosomal RNA is filed under the name uncultured bacterium. RNAcentral describes it as "partial 16S ribosomal RNA". It matches the Rfam family "Bacterial small subunit ribosomal RNA", at positions 28 to 507 of the family's 1533-position model. The record is from RNAcentral.